Molecule: ribosomal RNA, 444 nt
Filed under: uncultured bacterium
Lineage: Bacteria
Description: bacterial SSU rRNA
Rfam family: Bacterial small subunit ribosomal RNA
Source: RNAcentral
GGGCCCGCACAAGCAGCGGAGCGUGUGGUUUAAUUCGACGCAACGCGCAGAACCUUACCCAGACUUGACAUGCUACUGCAAGAUGGUGAAAGCCAUUCGCCUUCGAGGGUGUAGCACAGAUGCUGCAUGGCUGUCGUCAGCUCGUGUCGUGAGAUGUUGGGUUAAGUCCCGCAACGAGCGCAACCCCCGCGGCCAGUUACAGGUGUCUGGCCGGACGGCCCUUCGGGGAGGAAGGCGGGGAUGACGUCAAGUCCGCAUGGCUCUUACGUCUGGGGCGACACACACGCUACAAUGGCGCCGACAGCGCGCAGCGACCCAGCAAUGGGGAGCGAAUCGCCAAACGGCGCCUCAGUGCAGAUCGGGGGCUGCAACUCGCCCCCGUGAAGGCGGAGUUGCUAGUAACCGCGUAUCAGCCACGGCGCGGUGAAUACGUACCCGGGCCUU